Molecule: transfer RNA, 56 nt
Organism: Alligator mississippiensis (American alligator)
Lineage: Eukaryota; Metazoa; Chordata; Crocodylia; Alligatoridae
Rfam family: tRNA
About the family: Transfer RNA (tRNA) molecules are approximately 80 nucleotides in length. Their secondary structure includes four short double-helical elements and three loops (D, anti-codon, and T loops). Further hydrogen bonds mediate the characteristic L-shaped molecular structure. tRNAs have two regions of fundamental functional importance: the anti-codon, which is responsible for specific mRNA codon recognition, and the 3' end, to which the tRNAs corresponding amino acid is attached (by aminoacyl-tRNA synthetases). tRNAs cope with the degeneracy of the genetic code in two manners: having more than one tRNA (with a specific anti-codon) for a particular amino acid; and 'wobble' base-pairing, i.e. permitting non-standard base-pairing at the 3rd anti-codon position.
Source: Rfam
UGGUUCAGUGAUAGAAUUCUUGUCUACCACACAAGAGACCUGGGUUCAGUUCCCAG